Molecule: ribosomal RNA, 484 nt
Filed under: uncultured bacterium
Lineage: Bacteria
Description: partial 16S ribosomal RNA
Rfam family: Bacterial small subunit ribosomal RNA
Source: RNAcentral
AUUGAACGCUGGCGGCAGGCCUAACACAUGCGAGUCGAGCGGAUGAAGGGAGCUUGCUCCUGGAUUCAGCGGCGGACGGGUGAGUAAUGCCUAGGAAUCUGCCUGGUAGUGGGGGAAAAGGUCCGGAAACGGGCCCUAAUCCCCAAUCCGUCCGGAGGAGGAAAGGGGGGGAUCUUCGGACCUCACGCAAUCAGAUGAGCCUAGGUCGGAUUAGCGAGUUGGUGGGGUAAAGGCCUACCAAGGCGACGAUCCGUAACUGGUCUGAGAGGAUGAUCAGUCACACUGGAACUGAGACACGGUCCAGACUCCUACGGGAGGCAGCAGUGGGGAAUAUUGGACAAUGGGCGAAAGCCUGAUCCAGCCAUGCCGCGUGUGUGAAGAAGGUCUUCGGAUUGUAAAGCACUUUAAGUUGGGAGGAAGGGCAGUAAGUUAAUACCUUGCUGUUUUGACGUUACCAACAGAAUAAGCACCGGCUAACUUCGUG